Molecule: long non-coding RNA, 846 nt
Filed under: Equus caballus (horse)
Lineage: Eukaryota; Metazoa; Chordata; Mammalia; Perissodactyla; Equidae
Description: lncRNA (ENSECAG00000037070.3)
Source: RNAcentral
AUCCUGCGGCCCCCUCCCCAUCACUGCCACGCCCUCCAGCGUCGUGUGCCCCCAAGUGUGUCCCAGAGAGGCUCCUUCCUCUGUCUGCCAAGGGCUCUUCUGUGGUGGUGGUGGAGGGCCUCUCCAAUCCUCCCAAGGGUCCUCUCAGAAGACCCCCACCGUCCUCCACACCCAGGACAUCCAUGUUGCUGAGUCUGGAGGUUCCUGCAGGGGCUGUGAGAUCUCCUUUCACAGAUGGUUCCAUCUCUCUCUGGAAGUUUCCCCAGCUACAAAGUCCUUCUCCAUCCCUCUGGCCAGGGCAGACUGUGGUCAUUUGCCUGCCUUGUCUAGUGUCCUACAGAAGUGUCUGGUGAAGUGCGGUCAGAUGAUUAUAAAAGGAUGGACAUGCGACUGGUGGAGACAGUCCUGGUGUACGGACAGAGGGACGGAGCCCAGGGAGGCUGUGGCUGAGGCUGACCCUGGCUUUGUAAGUGCCUUUUCCUCCCUGGCCCCUCAGGGUUGCUGUCUAUGUGGGAGCUCCUUUGUAAUGAUCUAAUUGGAGCGGUAACGGAUGUAGCAUUCUGCCACAGCUAACAGCGGGAUUGGAAUUUGAGGAGACGCAGAGACAAAUUACCUCUGAAUUUUCUUGCAGCCAUAAAAGCUUUUACUGUAUAGUAAUUUUCCAUUUCUGCUGCAGGCAUAUUUGCAUAUUGCUUAACAAUUUAUCUCCCGUCAUUUGUCAGAUAUUAUCCAUCUCCUGUUAAUAAGCUAAGACAGGUCAUAUUAAGACUUCGCAGGCCUCCUGAGCUCGCCAUCAGCCCAGCUCUCCUGCCCACAGGGCCUCCCUGCUGUGGUUGCAGACGGGGC